Dermochelys coriacea (leatherback sea turtle) is the source of this 2873-nucleotide long non-coding RNA. RefSeq lists it as uncharacterized. The transcript is spliced from 2 exons. NCBI's taxonomy places the organism in Eukaryota, Metazoa, Chordata, Testudines, Dermochelyidae. The record is from RefSeq and is a predicted model, not a curated record.
CCUGGGCGCCCUGCCGGUUGGUUGCUGGACGGACGGAGACGCGCCCCUGUUGCUGCGGUCCGGGGGCCGUGCCUGGCAAAUAAAAGCCACCGAACCGCUCCCCUGAAAUGCAGAACAAGGGGGGGGGGGAGGCGGCUCACCUGAGGCUGGAAGGUGGCAGCGUUUAGCAGCGGCUCCAUUGCGAUGUCUGAUGUUGCGCAAGUAACGCCUGUAAAUGUGCUUAUGCCGCUGUGCGGGCUGAUCCUACUCUUGAGUGGGUGUCCCCCCCCCCCCCCCCCAAGGAAUUAGCGCCGCAAUUUCGAAGGCCCCAGAGGACUUUCAUUUCAGCAAUGGGAGAGUAAGAGAAGGUGAAAUGGCUCUCGAAUCUCUACAGCUCCAUUGGCUGUAUGCUCCCAGCUACUUUGAUAGUUGAUCUCAAGUAUCUGUUUGUUGUCUCCCCUUUCCAGUCUCUUGUACUUGCCUCAUCCAAACACUGUUCUUAACUAAGGGAAGGGGAUGUGGAUGUUUCUGUUGGUGUUGAACGUUGUUGUUCGGAGCCACUGUAGAUCAUCUGAUAAGGUGACUCAGUCCCAUAGGGAGAGUCACUGUAUGGCUCCCUGUCCAGUGUCCCCACUACACUGGUCUUGGCCUGAUCUGGUGGCAUGAGAUCAUAAGAGUGGUUCUCUAAUUUUCUUAGCCCCUGCAGCUUUAGACUGUCUUAUUCUGGAAUAAGUGUCUCGGUUCCUGACUGGUUCCUGAAGAGCUCCAUGUGUAGACCAAGCCCUGACUUCUUCCAGAACUCUGACACCACAUCUAAGGCUCUUAUUAAUUUUCAUUAAGUAUUCUUCUCCUGCUCCUUUUGCUUGCACAGGCACAGAUAGGCCUGUCAGCCUGAGAUCGAUCUCACAUGAAAUAAUGGAAUAGCUGAUAGAGGACUCAACUAAUAAAGGAGGGUAAUUAAUGCCAAUCUGCAUGGAUUUAUCAAAAAUAGAUCUUGAUAUUAUUUUUGAUGAGAAUACAAGUUUAAUUGAUAAAGGUGAUAGUGUUGAUGUAAUAGCCUUACGUAAGGCAUUUGACUUUGUACUGCAUGACAUCUUGAUUAACAAACUAUAGCAAUACAAAAUUAACAUGGCACACAUUAAAUGGGUUAAAAACUGAUUAACUGAUGGGUCUCAACAUGUAAUUGUAAAUGGAGAAUCAAGUGGAUGUGUCCCACAGAGAUCAGAUAUAGCAUAGGGCUAAGAAAACUUUUUUAUGUUUUUUUUUUUAAUUAGAGAUAAAAAUGAAUAGUGAUUAAAAUUUACAGAUGACAAAAGAUUGGGGGAGUGGUAAAUAAUCAAGAGAACAGGUCUCUGAUAUCUCUCUGAAAGCUGGGGGAAGACCAACACUAUGUUUCAAUAUGGUCAGAUGUAAGGUUGUAAAUCUGGGAACAAAUACCGUAGGCCAUUCUUACAGGAUCGGGGACUAUCUUGGGAAGCAGGGAUUACAUUUUAUGUUGGGGGUGGGGGGACCUUAGGAAUAAUGGUGGUGGAUAAUCAGCUGAAUGUUAGCUACCAGUACGACACUAGUCAAAGGCUUAAUUUGAUGCUUGGGUGUCUCAAUGGGAAGAUAUAGAGUAGGAAGGUUUAUAUUACUUCUGUUUGGCACUGGUGCAACCACUGCUGGAAUAGUGUCCAAUUCUAGUGUCCGCAAUUCAAGAAAGAUGUUGAUAAAUUUUAGAGGGUUCAGAGAAGGACUAUAAGAAUGUCCAAACGAUUGGAAAACAUGCUGUAUAGUGAGAAGACGUAAGAAACUCAAUCUAUUUAUCUUAUCAAAGAGAAGAUUCAGGAAAUGAUUUGAUCACAGUUUAUACGUACCUAUAAGGGGAACAGAUUUUUGAUAAUAGCGGGCUCUUUAAUCUAGUAGACAAAAAAUAACAAAAUGCAAUGGCAAGAAUUUGAAGCUAGACAAAUUCAGAGUGGAAGUAAGGUGUCGGAUUUUAACAGCGAGGGUAAUAACCAUUGGAACAAUUUACCAAGGGUUGUGGUGGAUUCUCCAUCAUCGGACAUCUUUAAAUCAAAAAUCAAUGUUUUUUUCUAACAGAUAUGCUGUAGUUCAAGUACAGUUACUGGACUUGAAGCAGGAAAUAAUACAAGGAAAAUCCUAUGACCUCUGUUAUACAGGAAGUCAGACUAAGGUCAGAAGUCUAUGAAGAAAGUCUGUCUCUUUGGGUGGAAAGUAAAGAUCCCAUCUUUAAAGUAGCAAAGGGAUUACACUGACCAUGUUAGGUGUGAGCUCCUGUUGGAGGGGAAGAACAAAAAUAGAUUUUUUUUUUCCUUCAACAUGACUCCAAAAUUUUCUUUUGACUUGAAAAUAUUGCUGACUUUUUUUUUUUUCCUGAGCAGUCAAGUCCACAUGACCCAUUGGAGGGAAACAGCAUCAAGAAAACCAGACAGUGGACUGAGCUGGAAUAUCAUGCCUGUGUGUUUCACCCUUACUCACUGUGUGUUUUGAUAAGUGUGACUACUUCAGAGGGGUAGAAUAGACAGAGGAAAACAGAACAGUCCUCUUCCUUUGUGGUACAGCCAUCAACUCCUAAUGUUUUUUUUUCCAGGGAAAUAGUGGAUCCAGAACUACUUUGGUCCUUUUUUCCUAGAGAUGAUCAGUCACUAUGUGUGCAUUGGACUUAAAGGUGAUCUACCAAGGAAAGAAAAUUGGCCUUAUCUGCAUUAUUUCUGUUUCUUCAUAGUGAAAACACAAGGCCUGAAACUUCUUUCUGCUUUUUUUUUUUUUCUUUUAGAAAGUAGAAAAUAAGGAACUGACAUACUGAAUCAGAGCAGUGGACUUUUAGUCCAAUAUCAUGUCUAACAGUGGCUCAUACCAACUGCCUCAGAAGAGCCGCUCUGUAAUAGAGG